Small nuclear RNA from Sorex fumeus (smoky shrew), 107 nucleotides. NCBI's taxonomy places the organism in Eukaryota, Metazoa, Chordata, Mammalia, Eulipotyphla, Soricidae. The record is from RefSeq and is a predicted model, not a curated record.
GUGCUCGCUUCGGCAGCACAUAUACUAAAAUUGGAAUGAUACGGAGAAGAUUAGCAUGGCCCCUGUGCAAGGAUGACAUACAAAUUCAUGAAGCGUUCCAUAUUAAA